Molecule: non-coding RNA, 249 nt
Organism: Vicia faba (fava bean)
Lineage: Eukaryota; Viridiplantae; Streptophyta; Magnoliopsida; Fabales; Fabaceae
Source: the annotation of a GenBank genome assembly
AUGAAGAUGGAAUAUGUGGUUAUGUUGAGGAAAGUGAGAUGUGAGGUCGAUGAUCAAGCAAAAGGAGGAGGGAGUACUGGAAGGGAUUGUUUGGUGUAUGGAAAUGGGCAGCAGGUAUAUAUAUGCAGAGUUUUUGACAGACCUGCUUGGUUGCUUAUGCAGGGUAUUGGAGCAAGAUUUGAAGCUUUGAAAUUAACAUUAGGUCUAGAAUUUAACUUUUUAUGUAACAUGAAUGGAGACUUGUCUUGA